AACGAACGCUGGCGGCAUGCCUAACACAUGCAAGUCGAACGAUGCCUUCGGGCAUAGUGACGCACGGGUGCGUAACGCGUGGGAAUCUGCCUUUCGGUUCGGAAUAACUCAGGGAAACUUGAGCUAAUACCGGAUAACGUCGCAAGACCAAAGAUUUAUCACCGAAAGAUGAGCCCGCGUAGGAUUAGCUAGUUGGUGAGGUAAAGGCUCACCAAGGCGACGAUCCUUAGCUGGUCUGAGAGGAUGAUCAGCCACACUGGGACUGAGACACGGCCCAGACUCCUACGGGAGGCAGCAGUGGGGAAUAUUGGACAAUGGGCGAAAGCCUGAUCCAGCAAUGCCGCGUGAGUGAUGAAGGCCUUAGGGUUGUAAAGCUCUUUUACCCGGGAAGAUAAUGACGGUACCGGGAGAAUAAGCCCCGGCUAACUCCGUG
This 433-nucleotide ribosomal RNA is filed under the name uncultured bacterium. RNAcentral describes it as "partial 16S ribosomal RNA". It matches the Rfam family "Bacterial small subunit ribosomal RNA", at positions 29 to 507 of the family's 1533-position model. The record is from RNAcentral.